RNAcentral lists this ribosomal RNA (252 nucleotides) under uncultured bacterium. RNAcentral describes it as "partial 16S ribosomal RNA". It matches the Rfam family "Bacterial small subunit ribosomal RNA", at positions 524 to 776 of the family's 1533-position model. The record is from RNAcentral.
UACAGAGGAUGCGAGCGUUAUCCGGAUUUAUUGGGUUUAAAGGGUGCGUAGGCGGACUGUCAGGUCAGCGGUAAAAUUGAGAGGCUCAACCUCUUCCCGCCGUUGAAACUGGUGGUCUUGAGUGGAUGAGAAGUACGCGGAAUGCGUGGUGUAGCGGUGAAAUGCAUAGAUAUCACGCAGAACUCCGAUUGCGAAGGCAGCGUACCGGCAUCCAACUGACGCUGAGGCACGAAAGCGUGGGGAUCAAACAGG